UACGUAGGGUGCAGGCGUUAAUCGGAAUUACUGGGCGUAAAGCGUGCGCAGGCGGUUUCUUAAGUCAGAUGUGAAAUCCCCGGGCUUAACCUGGGAACUGCGUUUGAAACUGGAAGGCUUGAGUGUGGCAGAGGGGGGUGGAAUUCCACGUGUAGCAGUGAAAUGCGUAGAGAUGUGGAGGAACACCGAUGGCGAAGGCAGCCCCCUGGGCUAACACUGACGCUCAUGCACGAAAGCGUGGGGAGCAAACAGG
RNAcentral lists this ribosomal RNA (253 nucleotides) under uncultured bacterium. Its description in RNAcentral is "partial 16S ribosomal RNA". It matches the Rfam family "Bacterial small subunit ribosomal RNA", at positions 524 to 776 of the family's 1533-position model. The record is from RNAcentral.